UGGCUCAGUUGGUAGAGCAUGGUGUUUGCAACGCCAGGGUUGUUGGUUCGAGUCCCAC
Molecule: transfer RNA, 58 nt
Filed under: Salmo salar (Atlantic salmon)
Lineage: Eukaryota; Metazoa; Chordata; Actinopteri; Salmoniformes; Salmonidae
Rfam family: tRNA
About the family: Transfer RNA (tRNA) molecules are approximately 80 nucleotides in length.
Source: Rfam by way of RNAcentral